This 1416-nucleotide ribosomal RNA is filed under the name Rectijanua sp. n. AD629. Its description in RNAcentral is "eukaryotic LSU rRNA". It matches the Rfam family "Eukaryotic large subunit ribosomal RNA", at positions 73 to 1269 of the family's 3401-position model. The record is from RNAcentral. Lineage: Eukaryota; Metazoa; Arthropoda; Arachnida; Sarcoptiformes; Rectijanuidae.
GAUUCCCCUAGUAACGGCGAGCGAAAAGGGAACUGUCCAGCGCCAAGUCUUGACGCCUCGAUGUGUUCAAGAGAUGCGGCGUUAAUGUGUUGACGCAUCGGACGUUGUUCCACGUUUCAAGUUCCUUUGACAGGGACAUCCAGAGCGGGUGCUAGGCCCAUAGAAACGAGGAGCGGACGGCCGCCGGUCAAUGCAUUCUAGAGUCAGGUUGCUUGAGAGUGCAGCUUAAAGUCGGUGGUAAACUCCAUCCAAGACUAAAUAUGACAGCGAGACCGAUAGCAAACAAGUACCGUGAGGGAAAGUUGCAAAGCACUUUGAAGAGAGAGUUCAAUAGUACGUGAAACCACUGGCAGGCAAACAGAUGGAACCACGAAGUGUGCGCCUCGGACGAUUCAAUCGCCGUGGACGGUUGCAGGUGUGCGGYCAGGGUUUUCUAGGAGACCGGCCACAUGUCUUCUGACCGGUCACGGUGGUGCAUUUCGCUCCGGGGAUGCUAAGCCACGUUCGACUUGAUAGUUGGGACGGCCGUAGGAUGGGAGCCAAGAAAGGUGCCCGUCAAACGCUUGCGUUUGUCGGCGUUAUAGUCUUGGCACGGAACCGUCGCCUAACAUGCUGGUCGAUGCAAGUACUCCGUACUCGGAGUGACGCUAAGCUUCUGGCCAUCAGUCGAUGUUUCGGCAUGUUCUUUACGUAUCUUGCGGUACGAAAAGGCGUGCCAACGAUGUCGGCUGGUGGUUGGUCGCGYUUUGCGGCGAAACUGUGGCGCGAGUAGGUCGGUGUCCAUCUGACCCGUCUUGAAACACGGACCAAGGAGCCUAACAUAUACGCGAGUCGCUCGGUCUUGUUUAGGCCCGGGAGGCGCAAUGAAAGUGAAGCUACGAGGCCGCUUGCGGUCGCAGUAGUGGCUCGCCCACUUCGUUUAUUGGCGAUCGGGCGAAGCUGGAGCGUAUACGUUGGUACCCGAAAGAUGGUGAACUAUGCCUGGGCAAGACGAAGCCAGAGGAAACUCUGGUGGAGGUCUGUAGCGAUUCUGACGUGCAAAUCGAUCGUCAGACCUGGGUAUAGGGGCGAAAGACUAAUCGAACCAUCUAGUAGCUGGUUCCCUCCGAAGUUUCCCUCAGGAUAGCAGGCGCUCGUUGAACCAGUGUCAUCCGGUAAAGCUAAUGAUUAGAGGUCUUGGGAUUGAAACGAUCUCAACCUAUUCUCAAACUUUAAAUGGGUGAGAUGGUUGACUUUCUUGAUUGAAGCCAACCGCUUGGAUGUGAGUGCCUAGUGGGCCAGCUUUGGUAAGCAGAACUGGCGCUGUGGGAUGAACCAAACGUCGAGAUAAGGUAUCAAACGCAUACGCUCAUGAGACCCCAUGAAAGGUGUUGGUUGCUAUAGACAGCAGGACGGUGGCCAUGGAAGUCGGAAUCC